AAAAGAAGUCUGCAUAUCAAAUGUAACAAAGGUAGUAAAAUGGAAAGACUAGGUAGAUCUGGGCUGAGGUAUCUGUCAAUUUUUGCUGCUGCUUUUUGAGUGCUGGCUAACGAUUAUAAGUUUUAAAGCAAAUGAAAAGUUUAUUCAGGAUAAAGAAUCUGUUGUUUCCUCAUAGGGCCAAACACUCAGCCAAUAAAAGAUGAUUACAUCACAGAGCACUUAUGAUAUGUCACAUCACCAAGGUAACAGGAGGGAUGGAGAUAAACAAAGGGCGGAGCCUGGGGAGAUCAUUUCUGAAAAGAAAAAGAUGAGUGAUAAAGUAGAGAACAAGGAAUACAAGAUGAAAGCAUGUGAUAGAUCUAUUGUGAAUUGACUGUAUGUUCAUCAAAUGAAAGAACAAAUGGAGCAAUUUCAAAAUCAGAAGAAGCAAAGCAAUAAAGAAGUACUGCAUUUUCUGGUGAUAAACUAAGAAGAAGAAGUAAAUAUGAACACAUGUGAUACUUGAAGAAGAGAAAAUUAUUCUUGUGCAAGGAGCUUGAUAUCUUUUAAACUUCUCUGAAAAAAAUGAUGCAAAGAAGAGUCCAACAAUUAGAUUUAUUUUCUUGUCAAAUAGACAAAGGUGAAAAUGAAUUAGGGCUUUGUACUCGUAUCUUCUUUGAUCCAGCAGAUGAGGAUGAAAAGGAUCCAGGUGUUUUUAUUACUGAAAUUGCUGAAGGGGGUGCAGCCCACAAACUUGGAUGUAUCCAUUUAUUUGACCAGAUUAUUAAAAUAGGUGAAACCAAUCUAAUUGGAUUAGAUGAAGAAGAAAUCUUCUCUACUUUUAAAAAAAUGGAAAAUUGUGUUUUCCGGAUUGAAAUUGGAAGAGAGCCACCUGAAGUCAAGACAGAACUCAUCAUACUCCUUGAAUUGUCAGAGGAAAGGAAGAAAUUUUUUACAGAUUCAGUCAUAGUUCAGGAAAAAGUUGGAGAUAUCAAAAUUGUGAAAGGAAAAGCAAGAAAUUCUAAAACUCCGAAAAUAUCAUGGCUCUGGAUCACCAGAGAACUGGAAUUAAAAAAUGAAGAGAUGGAAUUGAAAAGAAUAAUAGAAGAAGAAGGUCAGAAAUAUAAAAAAGACCUCAAGGAAAUUGAUGAAAGGACUAACAACUUGAUAGAGAAACUUAAAAAAUACGUGAACAUAUCUGAAGUGAAUAUCGGAAAUCAGCCUGAGGAGACAGUAAAAGAAGAUAUAACAACAGGGCAAUUAUUGGCCGCAGAGGAUAUCAGUUUAGGUAAGAGUUUGAUUCUUGAUUAG
This 1290-nucleotide long non-coding RNA is filed under the name Monodelphis domestica (gray short-tailed opossum). Its description in RNAcentral is "lncRNA (ENSMODG00000041823.1)". Lineage: Eukaryota; Metazoa; Chordata; Mammalia; Didelphimorphia; Didelphidae. The record is from RNAcentral.